This 74-nucleotide transfer RNA is filed under the name Epiplatys togolensis. RNAcentral's name for it is "tRNA-Leu". It matches the Rfam family "tRNA". From Rfam's summary of the family: Transfer RNA (tRNA) molecules are approximately 80 nucleotides in length. The record is from RNAcentral. Lineage: Eukaryota; Metazoa; Chordata; Actinopteri; Cyprinodontiformes; Nothobranchiidae.
GUUUAGGUGGCAGAGCUCGGUUAAUGCAAAAGACCUAAGCCCUUUUAACAGGGGUUCAAAUCCCCUCCUGAACU